GGCUACCUGGCGCAAUGGUAGCGCGUUUGGCUUCGAUCGCUGACGUCACCAAAAGGUUGCAGGUUCGAGUCCUGCGGUGGUCA
Non-coding RNA from Postia placenta Mad-698-R, 83 nucleotides. Lineage: Eukaryota; Fungi; Basidiomycota; Agaricomycetes; Polyporales; Adustoporiaceae. The record is from Rfam.